Molecule: RNase P RNA, 373 nt
Filed under: Candidatus Nealsoniibacteriota bacterium
Lineage: Bacteria; Candidatus Nealsoniibacteriota
Description: Candidatus Nealsonbacteria bacterium RNase P RNA component class A
Rfam family: Bacterial RNase P class A
About the family: Ribonuclease P (RNase P) is a ubiquitous endoribonuclease, found in archaea, bacteria and eukarya as well as chloroplasts and mitochondria. Its best characterised activity is the generation of mature 5'-ends of tRNAs by cleaving the 5'-leader elements of precursor-tRNAs.
Source: RNAcentral
CCAGCAAGUCAGGCAGUCGCUCUCCCGCUUUUUGCGGGAGGGAGGAAAGUCCGAACACCCAUUUCCCGCUUCGGCGGGAUCUAAAAAGAUAGCGGCUAACAGCCGUCGCCAGUAAUGGUAGAGGUGCGAACAGAGACGUCCGAGGCCGAAAGGCUGAGGACAUCCUGCUUUAAGCGGGAUGAGCCCAAGAGUAAUCUUGGAGGUGAAACGGCUAAAUCCUUAUCGGGUGCAAGACCAAACUCUUCAGCAAUCUCCGGAUUUGCUGAAGAGAAAAAGUAGGUCGCAUGAUCUCGUCGGCAACGACGGGACCAGAUAAAUGACUGCCACCCGCUUUCAGCGGGGACAGAAUUCGGCUUAUCGACUUGCUGGGGUU